CUGUAAUCAUACAAUACUACAGACAGUAGUAUAGAGCAGCAGGGAGAAGAGAAUACAACAUGCAUAUAUAAACUGUGGUUCUAUAUAUACAUAAGAUCUAAGAUACAAAAGCACUCGCACUGGCGAGAGUACAACAUCUGUAUGUAUAAACCAGAACUACACUACCUGCAGCGGUCCUCCACUAGCUCAGCAACUCGACUGGAAGGGUUCUAACUCGCGACACCCUUGCCACGAUCAAUAUCAGCGACAGCAGCAGCCGAAGAUGAUGGCUCUGCAAAAUAGUAGAAACAAACUGGGCGUGAGAACUACUACAAAAAGAAGUAGUUCUCAGUGGGUACCGCCCUCAAUACAUCGGUCCACCCACUAAGUCUACAGAGGUAAGCAAGAAAUAAUAAGGAAAGCUGGAACAUAUCUACAGCUAUCUGCCUCAAUACUAUCAUGCUCUAAUCUAACCAACUGUAGAAUAGUGUCAACUCAGACCCAAUCUCGAAUAGGGACUGUAAUCAUACCCGUCCCUGGGACUAUGAACAUACCCGUCCCGCCCGGUCGCGACUAUACAACUACAUCCACACUAAUAAGUCCGUGGAGAGCAAGUCCAACCUGCACGAACGACACGAACGCAAAAGUACAGCGCCCGCCUCGGGAGUGGCAGUCGUGGGAGCUACCCAACCGAGUAUGCAGCGUAUCUCUGUCGAGCUCAAUCAGGCGCUAAUAAGCCAAAGUUAAGAAGCUAGGGUCAAAACUGGUCUAGAAAUCAAAUCCACGUGCCCUCGACAUAAUUUGAGACCAAAAACAGGACUCUAGGUCCACCGUCCACCCCGACGGUACCCAACAACCCGAAACAGCCUAGACUCUGCUGUAAAAAUAAGCUCGGCGCCCCAGCACGAGUGUAAAUGUAUUUUAAACUACCCCGGGUAUCCACCGCGCUGAAACAGCGGUAAUACAAUCAAACCACGGCUCCUAGAGCUAAAUCAGGUAGCAGAAUUAUAUGACGGGUCAAAAUGCGGGUUUUCUCCUAAGUCAAUUUCCAAGUCCAAUAUGUAUAUUUUGCAAAUUAAGAAUCAUGCUCCAAAUUCAGAUUUCAUACAUUAUACUAUUCGAUGAAUUUGAGCUACAACAUGUUAUACCGAAGUCGAACUAUACAUGUUUACUUUACACAUGCUUAGGAGCAAAACCGAUAAGAAACCCACCUUAAUUGCUAAUCCCUGGCAGCAAGGAAGUCUCAAAGGUGCAAGAUCUCGCAGCUAAACCUCAUCUCAGCCAGCAACGAUCCACAAUUCCGAUCUAAGCACCAAAAAUCACUGAUUCCAUCAUUACAACUAUAAUAUCAGCACUUAAGCUUAAUUAACCACACUCCAAUGUCAAAACUCACCUAAUAACCUCCAAUUCAGGUGAGGACAGUCCCAAAUCCAAUGGAGUAUACUGGAGAAUAAUUCUCAAGUCCCAAAUUCUCCUGCUUCCAAAGAUAGCAUCAAGAAAAGCUCAAAAUCUACAAUUCUGUCCAAAUACAAUAACAGCAGAGUAAAACUUGAGUUCGACCAAGCUAACCUCAACCAAAUUCUGCAAUUCAGGGCUUCGUGGAUUCCUCUGGCAGUCUAGAAUCCAGCAAACUAAGUUUCACCGCGAUCCGACCUUUCUACGUCGCACACGAACCAAAACACUGGAGGUCGUCGCUGAAAAACUGCAGAAUCUGCACCUAUCAAGCUUGGAGUUGUGGAUCUUGAAGCAAUUUGAGUGAUUUGGAGGGGUUGGAAUGCAAAAUAGAGGAUCACUGUGAAGAAGAGAGGAAAAGAGCUCACCAAGGACGCUCCUCA
RNAcentral lists this long non-coding RNA (1814 nucleotides) under Ananas comosus (pineapple). Its description in RNAcentral is "long non-coding RNA (ACOM_LNC003897)". Lineage: Eukaryota; Viridiplantae; Streptophyta; Magnoliopsida; Poales; Bromeliaceae. The record is from RNAcentral.